This 65-nucleotide transfer RNA is filed under the name Leptolyngbya sp. FACHB-711. RNAcentral describes it as "tRNA-Thr". The record is from RNAcentral. RNAcentral also lists the same sequence under 1 other name. Lineage: Bacteria; Bacillati; Cyanobacteriota; Cyanophyceae; Leptolyngbyales; Leptolyngbyaceae.
AGGAUUUGAGAAAUACGACCAGCUGAUUUGUAAUCAGCCGGUCGCAGGUUCGAGUCCCGUCACCA